AAGAAUCGGUAGGUUUCCUUCCAAAAUAUUGUAGGAGUACAUAUUUAAUGGUAAGUUUCGCGAUGCCAUCACUUGCAUCCUCGGAACGCUGAACACAUUAACUGCAUAUAUAUAUAUAUAUAAAUCAAUAGUAAGUUAAAUUGGAUUUGAUACAAAAUUAAUAUGCAAAUACAUGUAGAAACAUAUCAUAUGUUAUAGGUAAGAAGAAAAGAGAACUACUAACUAGUAAUCGCCAAAAGGAGAGCAGCAAUGAAAAAAGUAAUCUUAUUUCCAGCCAUGUUAACACAACUUUAAGAAUUAUUGCGACAGAGGAAAG
This 316-nucleotide long non-coding RNA is filed under the name Nicotiana tabacum (common tobacco). RNAcentral's name for it is "long non-coding RNA (NTAB_LNC006667)". Lineage: Eukaryota; Viridiplantae; Streptophyta; Magnoliopsida; Solanales; Solanaceae. The record is from RNAcentral.